AUGUCUACUCCCACCACGGUAGCAACCGUUCGUCUUGUUAAUCGUUUGUGUGAUCUGUGAGACUGUGUGAGACCGGUGAGACGUACGCCGCAGUACUCCGUAUCAGGCGAAUUGUCGAAUUUAAGUCGAGAGUGUCGAGAUGGAUAAACCGGUUCUGACGAUUUCUCCUGCCAGAAGAAAGGAAAAAGAAAUGGAAACGCAGAUAUGUCGCAAAUAAUUGACAAUAUGUUCAAAGUUCAAGAAGAAAUGCGUAUCAAACUUGAUCAUUUGAAUAUCAAACUUGAUUAUUUGGAUAUCAAGUUAGAUCGUAUCAUCAACAAGCUAUGAGAUAAAAUUACAGCGAUCACAUGGGAUUCCGGCAUUUCCUCUACGCACAGAAGAGGAAUGAAAAAAAAUAAAAGAAGUUCUAACAACGAAUGAUGCUUUUACAUAUGUGAUAAAUAUCUCCACAGUGCAUUUUAUUAUAUUUUUAAUUACUUCAAAUUACAUAUUUACAUCCGCACUCUAUUAUUGUGUUCCGACAAGUGGUUAAUUUGAAUAUAAUUCAAAUCACAUUCAUAACAGUAAUUUAUUUGUGAAAUUGUUAUAGGUAGACAUUUUUGCCAGUAAAAUGAAAAAUAAAGAAUCGGAAGUUGCUGCUGUGCAAUCAAUUCUCUAAAAUUAUAA
Molecule: long non-coding RNA, 666 nt
Organism: Solenopsis invicta (red fire ant)
Lineage: Eukaryota; Metazoa; Arthropoda; Insecta; Hymenoptera; Formicidae
Exons: 4
Source: RefSeq, a predicted model, not a curated record